CCCUGAUACAAGUUUAAAGUAUUGCUAUGGUACAAUUAUAGGCCUACAAAGCAUCUUAAAGCACUAAUUUUUAAAGUUUUUAAGGCAUGUGGAAGAUAAGAAGACAAUAUAUACAUGGUACACAGUAUGGUCUCUGUUUACUGCAGAGUACAACACAGUUUGUAACAGGAUAUAGUUUUAUGAAACACCAGUGCAGGUAAAAUCUGGGUGUAAUGAGGAAUGACACACUAUAAACAACAGUAUAUCACCUUUUCUAGUUUUAUCAACACUAUUAUUAUUAUUAUUAUAUCAUCUUGUAAUGAUUUAGAUUUUAAGAAAUGUUAGAAGAAAAAGAAAAGGUGGGUGGUCUCUGAAACUUUGGUGGAAGGGAUCCACCAUCCAUUUAUCUUCUUAAGCACUUCUUUAGUUUAGGUUCACAAAGCGUUAGAGCCCCAGUCCAUAACCAGGGGAUGAAACUAAAACACAAAAUCUGCUAUAGUAGGUGUUCAGUUGGGUUUUAAAGGCAAAGUCAUGUAUUUCACAAAAUGUUCACUCUUUUUAUCAUUCUAUGAACUCUUAUUAGCAAAGAAAAUUUUCAUCAGAGGAGAGAGGUGAUAACACAGAGCCACAGGAUUGUGACAAAUGGAGUGGAACCACAACACCGACCACAUUGCUUUACUGCAGAGGCCGAGGGUUCAGUUCUUUCCUUUAAUCUGUCACGUGUUCAAACAUCAUUAUAGCAUGAAAAUUUUGAAAAUAUUCUGCAUGUUUAAACAGGUGUAAGAGCCAUGCCAGCAGCUCCGUCAGUGCUAGUUUUAGCAAGCUAUUGUGGUACGUUGCAAAGUAGUCAUUAUAAAUGGGAAGUUUAUGUCUGAAAAUUCAGUUCAUCUAAUGAAUUUGUCUUUUUAUUCAUUUUUUAAUCAUGUCUUUUUGUAAUGUUCUUCUGGGUUAAAACACAGGGUGUUACUUAUGCAAAUGUGAGUGAAUGUACAACGACUAACGUGGAUUUUCACACAUACAUCUGAAAAACCUGAAUGAUCUUUGAACAUAUCUCUACGUAAAUACAAUACAAACGAGCACUGAUCUAUUUCUGUAGCCGAUGAGCUGAUAUGUUUACUUCCUCAUGGAACCAGCCACUGAGAAAUG
Molecule: long non-coding RNA, 1125 nt
Organism: Oreochromis aureus
Lineage: Eukaryota; Metazoa; Chordata; Actinopteri; Cichliformes; Cichlidae
Source: Ensembl